RNAcentral lists this ribosomal RNA (484 nucleotides) under uncultured bacterium. RNAcentral describes it as "partial 16S ribosomal RNA". It matches the Rfam family "Bacterial small subunit ribosomal RNA", at positions 30 to 507 of the family's 1533-position model. The record is from RNAcentral.
AUUGAACGCUGGCGGCAGGCCUAACACAUGCAAGUCGAGCGGAUGAAGGGAGCUUGCUCCUGGAUUCAGCGGCGGACGGGUGAGUAAUGCCUAGGAAUCUGCCUGGUAGUGGGGGAUAACGUCCGGAAACGGGCGCUAAUACCGCAUCCGUCCUGAGGGAGAAAGUGGGGGAUCUUCGGACCUCACGCUAUUAGCUGAGCCUAGGUCGGAUUAGCUAGUUGGUGGGGUAAAGGCCUACCAAGGCGACGAUCCGUAACUGGUCUGAGAGGAGGAUCAGUCACACUGGAACUGAGACACGGUCCAGACUCCUACGGGAGGCAGCAGUGGGGAAUAUUGGACAAUGGGCGAAAGCCUGAUCCAGCCAGGCCGCGUGUGUGAAGAAGGUCUUCGGAUUGUAAAGCACUUUAAGUUGGGAGGAAGGGCAGUAAGUUAAUACCUUGCUGUUUUGACGUUACCAACAGAAUAAGCACCGGCUAACUUCGUG